Molecule: ribosomal RNA, 445 nt
Filed under: uncultured bacterium
Lineage: Bacteria
Description: partial 16S ribosomal RNA
Rfam family: Bacterial small subunit ribosomal RNA
Source: RNAcentral
CUACGGGAGGCUGCAGUCGAGAGUCUUCCACAAUGGGCGAAAGCCUGAUGGAGCGACGCCGCGUGCAGGAUGAAGCUCUUCGGGGCGUAAACUGCUUUUAUAAGGGAAAAAUUUCGAUGAUAUUACCUUAUGAAUAAGGGGUUGCUAAACUCGUGCCAGCAGCAGCGGUAAAACGAGUACCCCGAGCGUUAUCCGGAAUUACUGGGCGUAAAGGAUGUGUAGGUGGUCAUGUUAGUCCCGCUUUAAACAUUUCGGCUUAACCGAAAAAAUGGGUAGGAUACGGCAUGACUUUGAGAGUGUGAGAGGUUUACGGAACUCAUGGUGUAGGGGUGAAAUCCGCUGAUAUCAUGGGGAACACCAAAGGCGAAGGCAGUAAACUGGCGCACUUCUGACACUGAAACAUGAAAGCGUGGGGAGCAAAAACGGAUUAGAUACCCCAGUAGUC